UUAGCACAGUAUCAAACACCAUGUCUCCCAGAGAGGACCAUCCCACACACCAGUUGUUCAGGGCUGGUGAACAAGAGAACAGUAAACUGGUCGUUAUAUUCUUGGACAGACUGGCUUGACCUUUCCCUGGCAAGUUAGAGUUGCCCAUUUUCUUCACAUCUUUAUCCAUGGGAUUCUCUGCGGCCUGAAUUGAAGUUGAGCUCCUCCAGAGAAGAUCAGAGUUUGCCUCUGCUGGUAGACUGGGGCAGUAUCAACCUAGACUUUAAAUCCUCACUUGCUCACUUGACAUUUUUCUUUUCUUUUCUUUUUUUUUUUUUUUUUUGAGAUGGACUCUCGCUCUGUCACCCAAGCUGGAGUGCAGUGGUGCGAUCUCAGCUCACUGACUGCAACCUCCACCCCAGAUUCAAGCAAUUUUCCUGUCUCAGCCUCCCAAGUAGCAGGAUUUACAGGUGUCUGCCACCAUGCCCGGCUAAUUUUUGUACUUUUAGUAAAGGCGGGGUUUCACCAUGUUGGCCAAGCUGUUCUCGAGCUCCUGACCUCAAGUAAUCUGCCUACCUUGGCCUCCCAAAGUGCUGGGAUUACAGGUGUAAGCCACCAUGCCCAGACCCACUUGACAUUUUUCAGAUCAUACAAGUCUCAUGAAAUUAGGCCACAAACCUGCAGAUCCUGGUUGUGAAUUCUCAGGAGAAAAUUGUUUUGCCAAGAGUAAUGGAGAUCCCAUUGGUAAUAACUGUAAUAUUUUCAUUGUGCAUGUGUUUGUUUUGAUGAAUAAAC
Molecule: long non-coding RNA, 774 nt
Filed under: Homo sapiens (human)
Lineage: Eukaryota; Metazoa; Chordata; Mammalia; Primates; Hominidae
Description: non-protein coding lnc-HVCN1-2:1
Source: RNAcentral